UGAGGAACAUAGCCAUCGGCGGGGGAUAGCCGGCCCAACGGCCGGGUAAUACCGCGUACGAUCUUCGGGGGGCAUCCUCUGGAGAUGAAAGCAGCAAUGCGCCGAUGGGGUGCCUCGCGGCCUAUCAGCUAGUUGUGAGGUAACGCUCACCAAGGCUACGACGGGUAGCUGGUCCGAGAGGAUGACCAGCCACAGUUGGGACUGAGACCACGGCCCAGACCUCCGUAGGAG
RNAcentral lists this ribosomal RNA (231 nucleotides) under uncultured bacterium. RNAcentral describes it as "partial 16S ribosomal RNA". It matches the Rfam family "Bacterial small subunit ribosomal RNA", at positions 118 to 347 of the family's 1533-position model. The record is from RNAcentral.